GAUGAACGCUGGCGGCGUGCUUAACACAUGCAAGUCGAACGAUGAAGCCCAGCUUGCUGGGUGGAUUAGUGGCGAACGGGUGAGUAACACGUGAGUAACCUGCCCUUGACUCUGGGAUAAGCCUGGGAAACUGGGUCUAAUACUGGAUAUGACUUCUCAUCGCAUGGUGGGGGGUGGAAAGAUUUAUUGGUCUUGGAUGGACUCGCGGCCUAUCAGCUUGUUGGUGAGGUAAUGGCUCACCAAGGCGACGACGGGUAGCCGGCCUGAGAGGGUGACCGGCCACACUGGGAAUGAGACACGGCCCAGACUCCUACGGGAGGCAGCAGUGGGGAAUAUUGCACAAUGGGCGCAAGCCUGAUGCAGCGACGCCGCGUGAGGGAUGACGGCCUUCGGGUUGUAAACCUCUUUCAGUAGGGAAGAAGCGAGAGUGACGGUACCUGCAGAAGAAGCGCCGGCUAACUACGUG
Molecule: ribosomal RNA, 466 nt
Filed under: uncultured bacterium
Lineage: Bacteria
Description: partial 16S ribosomal RNA
Rfam family: Bacterial small subunit ribosomal RNA
Source: RNAcentral